This 65-nucleotide transfer RNA is filed under the name Marcia hiantina. RNAcentral describes it as "tRNA-Pro". Lineage: Eukaryota; Metazoa; Mollusca; Bivalvia; Venerida; Veneridae. The record is from RNAcentral.
UCAAGGCAUAGUUUAUAAAAAUAUUAGUUUUGGGUACUAAAGAUGUCUGGCUAGACUGACUUGAG